Molecule: non-coding RNA, 220 nt
Organism: Pelobates cultripes (western spadefoot toad)
Lineage: Eukaryota; Metazoa; Chordata; Amphibia; Anura; Pelobatidae
Source: the annotation of a GenBank genome assembly
GAAAGAUUUCAGCCACAACUGCCAGAAUAAUUGUUCGGGAAACAAAGAAAAACCCACAGGUAACCUCAGGAGAAAUACAGACUGAUCUGGAAAAAGACGGUGUGGUUGUUUCAAGGAGCACAAUACGACAAUACUUUUAAAAAUAAGAGCUGCAUGUUCGAGUUGCCAGAAAGAAGCCUUUACUGCGCCAAUGCCACAAAAAAGCCUGGUUACAAUAGGC